This 1386-nucleotide long non-coding RNA is filed under the name Nicotiana benthamiana. Its description in RNAcentral is "long non-coding RNA (NBEN_LNC027621)". Lineage: Eukaryota; Viridiplantae; Streptophyta; Magnoliopsida; Solanales; Solanaceae. The record is from RNAcentral.
AACAAAUAAGGUUGUUAUAGAGAGGUUCGGCUGCAUGUAGCUGAUAGCAUAAGAAAUUAAACAAGCUUAUUGCAAUGACUGUGGAAAACUUUGCUAUUGCAAAGAAAAGAAAUUAAGUUGCGAAGCCAUAAUUAUUUUGUCUUAGUUUAUUGCUAUUUCUCCCCUCCACAAAUUUUAUGUUCAUGGUUUUGUUGUGCCUCUUAUAGAACAAAAUAUAUUACUUAAUAUCCCUAAAGAGGACAUGUAUAUAUAGUAAAUCAAGAAAGGUCAUGCUCCAAUUGUUUCAUCUCUUCUUUGAAAACAGGCAUAGCUUCUUCUUGCAGACAAACCAAAACUCUGAAACCAUCUUUCUUACCUUCAGUAGCAGAAGAAUAAGGCAAGAAAAAGCAAGGUUCAACACUCCCAACUAAGUGCCUAGACAGUGGGAAGACAGUCACAGGUCCGCCCCAUCCAAAAUCAACUGUCUCGUGGCCUACGUGCCGCCAAUCUGUAAAUGCACUCACCCUAUUCCCUGCUGUAAUCCCUUCAUCAUAAUGCAGCUCCUGGAAAUCAAUUAACGAACGAACAUACUCAUCUGUGAUGAUGCUCUUGCUUUUCUUGAUCGCAUCUGCUGUUUUCCAGAUAGGUUGAUUGAUGAGGUCUUUUGCAAGGAGCUGCACGUAUAUUGGCACACAGCCAUUGCCCCAGUAGCCUGCUGGCAAUGCUGGCUUCACUGUUCUUCUGAUAUUGGUUAGAUAGGCAUACUUCACUAUCUCAUCACCUGGGAUUUUAGAAGCCUUUGCCCUGUUUCACAAGUAUUAACAUAUCAGUCCCUAGCAUAGACUAUUAACACAUGACAGUAUAUUAAUACCAAUUCCUUCCAAUGACACCAUUUGUCUGCAUAUAAUUGACAUUAAAGGAAUCCCAACCAAGAUCAGGUAACGAUUGCUGUAAUCCCUUCAUCAUAAUGCAACUCCUGGAAAUCAAUCAACGAACGAACAUACUCAUCCGUGAUGAUACUCUUGCUCUUCUUGAUAGCGUCUGCUGUUUUCCAGAUAGGUUGAUUGAUGAGGUCUUUUGCAAGGAGCUGCACGUAUAUUGGCACACAACCAUUGCCCCAGUAGCCUGCUGGCAAUGCUGGCUUCACUGUUCUUCUGAUAUUGGUUAGAUAGGCAUACUUCACCAUCUCAUCACCUGGGAUUUUAGAAGCCUUUGCCCUGUUUCACAAGUAUUAACAUAUCAGUCCCUAGCAUAGACUAUUAACACAUGACAGUAUAUUAAUACCAAUUCCUUCCAAUGACACCAUUUGUCUGCAUAUAAUUGACAUUAAAGGAAUCCCAACCAAGAUCAGGUAACGAUUAUUAUGUCAAGGGUCUGUAUAUACUUAUUUUUUGGUCUAAAAUUUUU